RNA transcript from Salvia splendens (bonfire salvia), 4979 nucleotides. It is a transcript of the gene named ruBisCO large subunit-binding protein subunit alpha, with no coding region annotated. NCBI's taxonomy places the organism in Eukaryota, Viridiplantae, Streptophyta, Magnoliopsida, Lamiales, Lamiaceae. The transcript is spliced from 10 exons. The record is from RefSeq and is a predicted model, not a curated record.
CGAAGCAAUGAUAAAUCUUCUAGAAAGUUAACCUCAUAGUCAUACGGCAUUGUCUUAUCCGCACCCGCAAAAACACCAUCUUCUUCUUCAAUUCUCGCAAAAAUGGCUUCCGCCAACGCUAUCUCUUCCGCUUCCAUCCUUCCUUCUCCUUCUAAAGCCUGGAGAUUGAAGAACGGUAGAGCAAGCCAAUUGCGGCAGGGGCCGAAGCAGAAACACCGGUUUGUGGUGAGAGCUAAUGCUAAGGAUAUUGCUUUCGACCAGAAAUCCAGGUCUUCCAUGCAGGCCGGCAUUGAUAAACUCGCCGACGCCGUCGGCCUCACCCUCGGCCCCAGAGGGCGGAAUGUUGUUUUAGAUGAAUUUGGUAGCGUAAAAGUUGUGAAUGAUGGGGUGACUAUCGCGAGGGCCAUAGAGUUGCCUGAUCCCAUGGAAAAUGCAGGUGCUGCAUUGAUCAGAGAGGUUGCUAGCAAGACGAAUGAUUCUGCUGGAGAUGGCACCACCACAGCCUCGAUUCUCGCUCGAGAGAUCAUCAAACUCGGUCUUCUCAGUGUCACCUCCGGUGCCAACCCGGUGUUGCUGAAGAGGGGCAUUGAUAAAGCUGUGCAGGGUUUGAUUGGUGAGCUUGAGAAUCGAGCUAGGCCUAUCAAGGGCAGGGAUGACAUCAAAGCUGUUGCUGCAAUUUCUUCUGGCAACGACGAGAGCAUAGGGACCAUGAUCGCCGAUGCAGUUGACAAGGUUGGACCUGAUGGUGUCUUGUCCAUCGAGUCAUCUUCCUCCUUCGAGACCACAGUGGAUGUCGAAGAAGGAAUGUUUGAGUUCAGAGGAUACAUCUCCCCCCAAUUUGUCACCAACCCUGAGAAGCUGCUGGUGGAGUUUGAGAAUGCGAAAGUGCUGAUUACGGACCAGAAGAUCUCCUCGAUCAAGGACAUCAUCCCUCUGCUGGAGAAGACACCGCAGUUGAGAGCACCUUUGCUCAUCAUUGCAGAAGAUGUCACAGGGGAGGCUCUGGCCACCCUCGUCGUGAACAAGCUCCGUGGCAUCGUGAACGUGGCAGCAAUCAAGGCGCCUGGUUUUGGAGAGAGAAGGAAAGCCCUUCUUCAGGAUAUUGCCAUUAUGAGUGGAGCUGAGUAUCAAGCGACUGAUUUGGGGCUAUUUGUGGAGAAGACUGAUGUGGAUCAGUUGGGAACUGCAAGAAAGAUCACAAUCAGCAAAGAUUCAACGACAGUGAUCGCGGAUGCUGCAUCGAAGGAUGAGCUGCAGGCGAGGAUCGCUCAGCUCAAGAAGGAGUUGAGCGAGACUGAUUCUGUGUACGACACAGAGAAACUAGCUGAGAGAAUGGCUAAGCUGUCGGGCGGUGUUGCUGUAAUAAAAGUGGGAGCAUCAACUGAAACGGAGCUUGAGGAUCGGAAACUGCGGAUAGAGGAUGCCAAGAACGCAACUUUCGCAGCCAUUGAGGAAGGGAUUGUCCCUGGCGGUGGAGCUGCAUUGGUCCAUCUAUCGGGGCACGUCCCCACCAUCAAGGACACGCUUGAGGAUGCAGACAAGCGCCUUGGUGCUGACAUCAUCCAGAAGGCGCUGAUAGCACCAGCAUCGCUGAUAGCGCAGAAUGCGGGGGUCGAGGGAGAGGUGAUCGUGGAGAAGGUGAGGUCCACGGAGUGGGAGUUCGGGUACAAUGCGAUGACAGAUACCUUCGAGAACUUGCUGGAAGCCGGAGUGAUCGACCCAGCUAAGAUGGCGAGGUGCGCAUUGCAGAACGCAGCCUCUGUUGCCUGGAUGGUGCUCACCACGCAAGCCAUUGUGGUAGACAAACCCAAGCCGAGGGCAUUCCCUGCACCAGCUGGUUCUGCUUCUGACGCCCCUGUCGGCAGUUAUUCAGUGUAGAAUAGUGAGAUUUCACAUAAAACUGCAUCGUUCUAGUUUAGAGAGAGAGAAUCCAAGAAUUGUUGUUAUUGCCCGACAUAGAAACAAUUUUGCCAUUCAUUUAGAGCUUAUGAUCGAGGGCCCUGCCCUAAAUCUUCCACUCUUCAGUCAUGUAUUUGUAAUUUUGUUUGUGUUCGAUUCAAGAAUUUGAAACUCACUAGGUGUAAACGAAUAAUUGGAGUGUAUUCAAACACUGAUACGGAUCAGCCAAAGAGUAUUCGAGGUUAUAAGGUGGGAAAACGCUCUGGAGAAGUUCGUGUCCCCUCUUGUCGGGGUGUCAGCUCAAGAUGCCAAAGCAUAGCACAACAGGGAGACGGAAGGGGGUGGGAGAGCAGCUUUAUGACCCCAUUGAAGAACACAAUUACUGCUCUUAAUGAGGAGUACAGGAAUCAGUGUGCUGCUAAUUCUUUGAGAAUGUUUCAGCUUAUUCAGAGGAAAGGUUGGAACUUUUGAACGAUGAUGGUUCUGCGGCAAAGGCUUGGCCCGUUGACAUGACCUAUGAUGGUGGCAAGAACAUUUGGGGCCAUCCACUAUGAAAUGGAAUCGGUACACCUAUGUAUGGACCAUUGCAGACAGGUAAAGCAGAAUCUGUGGUCCCUUUGGGAUUAGUGUGGUACAAGUCAUGCCAGCAGUGUCGAUGACUGGGGCUAGUCGAUGCGUAUCAUCCUGUUGUCGCUCACCAAGGGGCCCUGCGAUGAAGGUGCUUGUAACACUAUCUUGCCAUGGAGGAUUCCCAGGUGAUGGUUACAUGUCUGAUCAUGAGCUUAAUUAAUGCUAACUUUUAACAUACAGGAAAGGCCUUCAUGGAGACAUGAGACAUGAACCUCUCUGUUGGAUUCUCUACUGUGCCCCCAUGUUUGUGGAGCUGGCUCAGAUAUGAAUAAUUGAUGACAUGAAGUGGAAUUUCCCUUUUCUAUAAUGAUAGUACAAAGCCAAUUGUGCUUUUACAUUAUUUUGAGGAAAAAAAAGGAAACAAUGGCAUGUAAAGUGAGUAAAUAUAGAUUCAAUGAACUUGCAUAUUUUCUUUCACAGUUGGGAGUUAGACACCCAAUGAUCCAUUUAGAAAAGAUAUAUUGAACCUCUGAGUUAUAUGGUACAUGGUAUAAUAAAGUGCUGAUCUGAUCCAGAUCCGAUCCAUUCGUAAGACAGAAUGUGGAUGCGGGAUGCCAACGCCUUAACUUGGACGUUGGCAUUGGACCACACCUUUUCUUAACCUCUGCGAGCGACACAGUGCAGUGGUAAAUCAAAAGCUUGGUGAGUAAAAUGAGUGUAGUGUUAGUGUGCAGUUAUUACCAGAAGGGACCAACUUCGUAUUUUCCAUUAAUAGGUUUCAGAAGGCUAGUUGGCACUAAUAAUUUCACAUAUCUUGUGGGGUUAAUAUCUUGUACUACUACCUUUCUUCGACCUCAACUUUAACUACUGUAAAUACUAACUAGGUCACGUUCAUUUGGUUGUAAUUUGUAAAUGGUGAUCAACAAGAUAUUAUCAUCUUUGAAAGGGGCAAGUUUUCUUAUUUCACUCAAAAUUUCUCCCAAAUACUACUACUAUAAGUGGAUCUCAUUAUCCUCGCAUAUAUUGUUUAAUUUCAUACUUUUUAUUUCAUUUCAAAUUAAUAUUUGAGUUCAAAAUAGUAGUUUGCUGCAUUACAUAGAAGUUUUUUUUUUUUAAAUAACUUGAAAAAAAUAAGAAACUAGGAGUACUAGUAAUAUUAUUAAUGAAAGCUAAAGGUGUUAUGUUAUCAAGUCUCGUUGAUCUCGUGGCUAGCUAUGUGAAGACAAGUUCUGAGACAUCACCAUCAUGGACCAUUCAGCUGCUUAAGCAAAUUCCAAAGAAUCUCUUCACUUUUUGUUCUUAAAACACACAUACAUAUAUACGUCUCUCUCUCUUUCUGUACAUGUGUGUGUGAACUUCAAAUCUAAAUGACAAAAACUAUACUGCAUUACUAUCCCACAUAAAGCAAAAAACAGUGACAGAAACUACCGGAGCGGUAGUAAGUUGUUUGACAUCUAAAAUCUUGGGAAAAGAAAAGUUAAUUACUAUACAUAUCAAGACGUAAUUAACAUAUAUAGAGAUGUAUAUAUAUAUUGGAGGGAAUCGUCUACGAAUCGAAUUGAUUAGGACGAGACGAUGCAGUGAUGAAGAAAUUGAGUAAGUGAUGAUGUACUAUAUGAUUAGACGAGGAUGAAUGACCCAAAUUUUGCAUACCUUUUUCCAACCCUAAUAAACCCAUAAUUUUAUGAAAUCACUCAGAAUUUUAUCAUCAUAUUGUCAUCGUGAUCAAAAUUCUAUUUAGAAGAGGAUUUGUUUGCUCAUACUACUACUUGUUAUCGAUAACUCACGAUGUCAAAUCAUAGCAUUAUUAAAAGUUUAAAACUAAUUAAGUAAAUUAACAAGACCAACUAGUUAGGCCUAAUUUGUUUCCCAAUUGCUAUUUUCAAACAAACAUUUGAAACUAGAAAAAAGAUGAAUCCUAGCAGUAGUAUAAAAUAAUGAAAGCAUAUAUGUUUACAAAUUUUCAAAUUAACACUGAAACAAGACAAGCAAACAAGGAAAUUAGUCUUUAAAUUAGUUGUUAAUUAAUUAGGAAAACCCCUUUUUUUUGUUAUAAAAAAAACAAGAUAAAAUAUCUCAGAUCUAUUACACCUGCAAACUGAAUUAUACUUCCAUCAGUAGUCACUUGUGUCGGAUUCUGACAGAAACAAUAGUAAUAAUGAAUAAAAAUAAGGAAUUAAAGCAGAGAAAAUAUAAAAAAAGAAGCAAAAGUAGCAAGGUUGAUGAACAAAGGGUUUUCUGCGCCUUUUGCCGGCAAAAGUCAUUUAUUGCCGAUGCAGCAUCAUCAAGAUUCUCAUGGAGUAGAGAGAGAAAGAGAUCACUAAUAACCCUUUGUCUUGUGAAUCUUGAUGAUGCUGCACCAGAAAACAACGACUCAUUUGUAUGCAUCCACAGAUCCACGCUCCUACAAAUAGAGUAAAAGUAUAUACUGUGUCUGUGAAGAGAAAGAGAGAGAGAGUGAAGAAACUCAAAUUCAUUAGUAAUCGAAAGAGAGAGAGAGAGAGAGAGAG